RNAcentral lists this ribosomal RNA (456 nucleotides) under Danionella sp. 'Jorai River'. RNAcentral's name for it is "partial 16S ribosomal RNA". It matches the Rfam family "Bacterial large subunit ribosomal RNA", at positions 1923 to 2541 of the family's 2925-position model. The record is from RNAcentral. RNAcentral also lists the same sequence under 1 other name. Lineage: Eukaryota; Metazoa; Chordata; Actinopteri; Cypriniformes; Danionidae.
UUUAACGGCCGCGGUAUUCUGACCGUGCAAAGGUAGCGUAAUCACUCGCCCCUUAAAUGAGGGCUUGUAUGAAUGGCUAGACGAGGGUCUUACUGUCUCCUUUUUCCAACCUGUGAAAUUGAUUUACCCGUGCAGAAGCGGGUAUAGUAAUACAAGACGAGAAGACCCUUUGGAGCUUUAGGUAAAGAGUUACUCAUGUAAUUAAGGCUUACAAAUAUAUAAACAUAGUGAAAUUAUCAUCUUACCUUAGGUUGGGGCGACCGUGGAGAAAAACAGAUCCUCCAAAUGGAUUGAGCUUAUGCUUAAAACCCAGAAUUACAAUUCUAAGUCACAAAACAUUUGACCAAAAGAUCCAAUAAGUUGAUUAAUGAAAAAAGUUACCCUAGGGAUAACAGCGCAAUCUCCUUUGAAAGUUCCUAUCGACAAGGGGGUUUACGACCUCGAUGUUGGAUCAGG